Molecule: ribosomal RNA, 262 nt
Filed under: uncultured archaeon
Lineage: Archaea
Description: partial 16S ribosomal RNA
Rfam family: Archaeal small subunit ribosomal RNA
Source: RNAcentral
CAGCCGUAAACUAUGCGCGUUAGGUGUACUGGUGACCACGAGUCACCGGGGUGCCGAAGGGAAACCGUGAAACGUGCCGCCUGGGAAGUACGGUCGCAAGGCUGAAACUUAAAGGGAAUUGGCGGGGGAGCACCACAACGGGUGGAGCCUGCGGUUUAAUUGGACUCAACGCCGGAAAUCUCACCGGAUAGGACAGACAUAUGAUAGUCGGGCUGAAGACUCUACUUGAUGAUCUGAGAGGAGGUGCAUGGCGUCAGUGACU